CACACACACACACACACAAA
Molecule: microRNA, 20 nt
Filed under: Corchorus capsularis
Lineage: Eukaryota; Viridiplantae; Streptophyta; Magnoliopsida; Malvales; Malvaceae
Description: sRNA CCACVL1_22777
Source: RNAcentral